CCUACGGGAGGCAGCAGUGAGGAAUAUUGGUCAAUGGGCGUAAGCCUGAACCAGCCAAGUCGCGUGAGGGAUGAAGGUUCUAUGGAUCGUAAACCUCUUUUAUAAGGGAAUAAAGUGCGGGACGUGUCCCGGUUUGGAUGUACCUUAUGAAUAAGGAUCGGCUAACUCCGUGCCAGCAGCCGCGGUAAUACGGAGGAUCCGAGCGUUAUCCGGAUUUAUUGGGUUUAAAGGGUGCGUAGGCGGGCUUUUAAGUCAGCGGUGAAAGUCGGGGGCUCAACCCGAGAAUCGCAGUUGAAACUGGGAGGCUUGAGUAUGUGAGAGGCAGGCGGAAUGCGUGGUGUAGCGGUGAAAUGCGUAGAUAGCAAGCAGAACCCCGAUUGCGAAGGCAGCCUGCCGGGCCAUGACUGACGCUGAGGCACGAAGGCGUGGGGAUCAAACAGGAUUAGAUACCCGAGUAGUC
RNAcentral lists this ribosomal RNA (460 nucleotides) under uncultured bacterium. RNAcentral's name for it is "partial 16S ribosomal RNA". It matches the Rfam family "Bacterial small subunit ribosomal RNA", at positions 338 to 795 of the family's 1533-position model. The record is from RNAcentral.